This 98-nucleotide ribosomal RNA is filed under the name Klebsiella aerogenes. RNAcentral also lists the same sequence under 32 other names. The record is from RNAcentral. Lineage: Bacteria; Pseudomonadati; Pseudomonadota; Gammaproteobacteria; Enterobacterales; Enterobacteriaceae.
GUGGUCCCACCUGACCCCAUGCCGAACUCAGAAGUGAAACGCCGUAGCGCCGAUGGUAGUGUGGGGUCUCCCCAUGUGAGAGUAGGGAACUGCCAGGC